RNAcentral lists this ribosomal RNA (301 nucleotides) under uncultured bacterium. Its description in RNAcentral is "partial 16S ribosomal RNA". It matches the Rfam family "Bacterial small subunit ribosomal RNA", at positions 509 to 807 of the family's 1533-position model. The record is from RNAcentral.
CAGUAGCCGCGGGAAUACGGAGGAUCCGAGCGUUAUCCGGAAUUAUUGGGUUUAAAGGGUGCGUAGGCGGACAGAUAAGUCAGUGGUGAAAGACGGUGGCUCAACCAUCGCAGUGCCGUUGAUACUGUUUGUCUUGAAUAUGGAUGAGGUAGGCGGAAUGUGGCAAGUAGCGGUGAAAUGCAUAGAUAUGCCACAGAACACCGAUUGCGAAGGCAGCUUACCAAGGCAAUAUUGACGCUGAGGCACGAAAGCGUGGGGAUCGAACAGGAUUAGAUACCCCGGUAGUCCCUGUCUCUUAUAC